Molecule: ribosomal RNA, 435 nt
Filed under: uncultured bacterium
Lineage: Bacteria
Description: partial 16S ribosomal RNA
Rfam family: Bacterial small subunit ribosomal RNA
Source: RNAcentral
AGCGAACGCUGGCGGCAGGCUUAACACAUGCAAGUCGAGCGGGCAUCUUCGGAUGUCAGCGGCAGACGGGUGAGUAACACGUGGGAACGUACCCUUCGGUUCGGAACAACUCUGGGAAACUGGAGCUAAUACCGGAUACGCCCUUAUGGGGAAAGGUUUACUGCCGAAGGAUCGGCCCGCGUCUGAUUAGCUAGUUGGUGGGGUAACGGCCUACCAAGGCGACGAUCAGUAGCUGGUCUGAGAGGAUGAUCAGCCACACUGGGACUGAGACACGGCCCAGACUCCUAAGGGAGGCAGCAGUGGGGAAUAUUGGACAAUGGGCGCAAGCCUGAUCCAGCCAUGCCGCGUGAGUGAUGAAGGCCUUAGGGUUGUAAAGCUCUUUUGUCCGGGACGAUAAUGACGGUACCGGAAGAAUAAGCCCCGGCUAACUUCGUG